Molecule: long non-coding RNA, 16740 nt
Filed under: Xyrichtys novacula (pearly razorfish)
Lineage: Eukaryota; Metazoa; Chordata; Actinopteri; Labriformes; Labridae
Source: RNAcentral
CUACAGUAACAUUAUCAGCCAUUUGUCAGUAGCUUACCCACUCCUGGUAGCUUUGCUGCUUUCCCCCUCUGCUCCUCAACUUGCUCUGAUGCCACAGUUUCAUCAUCUGCUGCAUCUCUCUUUCUCUUGAACAUAAAAUCAACUUUUCUCAGCAUUCUGUUUUAUUUCUGCAUUAAGAUUGGAGCAGCUGUCUCUUUAAAAAUUCCCUCCUUCCGCAAAAGGCGGAAGUUAAUCCCAGCGCCUAGGCAACAAGCGUCCAAUCAAAAGUGCGCACUGAACGCUCCGGAGUUUGUUUGUAUGCGGAAGCAAAUCCGGCUCACUCACAAGCAGCAUGAUUACUAUGGUUGGAUUACUACGGUUACAAUGCAGAGUGCAGACUGACGUGCGGCAACACGGUAAGCAAAUGUAGCCUACAGACACUGCAGGGGUGAAAGUUUGUGUACCGCUGUGUACCGUCUGUAAACUGCUGUUUAUGUCUCUCCGGUACAGCGUACUGCUGCGUACCGGUGUUGUGCCGUAGAAUGCACCCCUGCCGUAAAUGCACCCCCUGACAGGAGCGCAGUUUAAAGCACAUAAGAAGGCGAAAUAAUCCAAGUUUUCCUCAUUAUUGGAUGGAUUCAAAAGCGUGUGCCUGUCAUGAUUUCAUUUAGACUAUUGAGAUAAGCCCUCUGAUUUGGAAUAUUCGCUGUAUAAUAUACAAGUAUAAUGUUCUCUCGCUUGACAACUUGCUUUACAGUUUGAAUACCCAAGUACACCUCUAUGUGUGCAUUUUUAAGACAUAAAAACAGAACAAGAGUUUGCUGCUUCAUUUGACAUGUUGUCAUGAUCCAGUACUCGUGUUUUUCUUUUAAUAUGAGAUCAUUUUCUUCCAUUUUAAGAGGCUAAUAAGUGGAUGGGAUGCAAGGGAUGCAUUCCAUGCCACAGCACCGGCUUACUUUCACCCCUGCCUCUCAGUCCAAUCAGCCACACCCCUAAUUUUGCUGAACAAUGCACAACUGCUAGUCAUGAUAUAACCAAAAUGAAGAAGUUAACCAACUACAGCAAAGUGUCUAUGAAUGAAAAACAAUCUAUCGCACUUGAUUGUAAAUAGGUUAGAUAUUCUGUAUCAAAAGUUUCAAGUAAUCUAGCAAAACAAGUUCUUCAGAAUUGAUAAAGUUCUGUCUUUUAUCUUUAAACCCAAAAUCUCAGUUGACUGAUUCUCUAACUUUAAACAAUUUUUCUCCAUUUCCAUGGCUCAGUUUCACAGUGCUAUCUAUUCCUUUUUCUAAAUAGCCCUAUCCUGGCUAAAAUCUUUCAGCAUAGUUAAACCUCAACCUCUCCCAUCCUCUCUUCUACAUAUUCUUACACACUAUUGGAGAUCUGUGAACCUUAAUUUGUCAAGCUACAGGGUGGAGAGUCCAGAAAACCCGAGACAGAGUGCAAGUAUCUCUGUCACAUGACUGACCUGACCCCAGUGAUGGCUGAUAUCCCACCAAAUAAAUUCUAAAUAUAGAGCCAUUGUUAGGAAUGAUAUAUUAUAAAAGAGCAGCAGUUGUAUGAUGAUAAAAUUAAAGUCAAUAUGCUAAGUGGAGGGAGCUGCCAGCAGCUGGUAGUCAUUACCCAUUUUAAUCAUUCAAAAAGAAGAUUGGGUAAAAAGGACUUUAUUUUGUCAGCCUGAAAUAGUGCCACAUUUACUCCUCAUUUUGUGAUAAAAUAGCUCAGUAAGCAUGGAAUCUAGGGGGUGAUAAAACUGUUGCACAAGAAACCCCAAUAGACCAGGGAUUCAAAACUGAUCCACAUGAAGUUUCUACUGCAGCACCACGAGCUGACCUGUCAUCAGAGAGAGUUUGAUUGUAGUUUAUGGGAAUGUCACCUUGAUUUUAAAGUAGUUUAUCAGUAUUUACUAGUCAAAAUAAAGAGAUAAAUAACACCUGUUGGUGCACCUGUAGUCUGUACUUAAGGCAACCCAGGAGAUCACAUGUCUCACUUUGGCAGCACCUGUUUAGACUGCAGGUUUUCAAACUGUGAGACUCACUUUCCCAGGGGGGGCUUUGGAGAAAUUGAUUGCUUACCUACCUGGUCAAAGGCUGGAGUAGAAGCAGCUGCUGUGGUGUACAGCUCACGGAGGCGGCACAGGUGCUUGAAAAUUCUGACUGGUAACUAACUUAUCCUUUUUGAAGUUGUCUCAUAACCACCAAGUGUUUUUUAAAAUCAUAAACAUAUUUGCCUCACAGGGUUUCUAAAGUUUCUUAACAAGUAAUACUGACAAAGUAGAGGUUAUAAUACACACUAAAAACAUCAGCAGUUACCCCCCCAAAAAAAAGACUGAGCCAUAAUAAAAGGGAAGCAAUUGUAGCCCACAAGAAAACAGCUCUUUUUAGAUAUUUCCUAUACUGAUGACUGAUUGUUUGUUUUUGCAGGACACUUGACAGCUCCUUUUUUUACGCCAUAAGCAGCCCUCUAUUUUACACAUUACAAGCAAUUCAGAUCUUAUUUUCAGCUUGUUGAAUCUUGAAAAAUGAUGAAUAUCUGGACUUGUUAAAUGCCUUAAUAAAUAUUUUAAACGUAUUACUCUGGAGUCUCUGCAGUGUGUUGAAGUACUGUUUUCUGACAGGGUGAGGAGUGUUCUUGUCACACUCUGAUGGGAUAAUAUUGAACCACCCAUUCACCACACAUCAUCCCUUAUUAACUAAAAUUUGACUUUUAAAAGCCAAGGGCUUUAAAUACAAUGAAAUGUUUGAUUAAAAUUGAACAAUGUUGUUCAUGAUCAGGGCUGUUUUGCUAACUGAUUGACUCUUUGUAGUUGAUUACUCUUUUCCGUAUUUUGCCUCCUGAGUUGAUGUAACAAGUUCAUUUCCCACAGUGAAGGAUCAAUACAACCUAAUCUUAUGUAAAGGUUUGUGCAGCUCACAUUAAUAAUCAAGACAUAUACCCCAAGCCUUAAAAAACUGAUCAAAAGAAAUAAAGUUACCAAGAAAAUCUUAAUCCCACCUUCUUUAAAUUUAUUGUUUUAUUUUUCAAGACACUUUAAAUUUAUGACUCGGUACCAGCAUUUAAAAUGUAUGAAGCAUUUAAAUAGCUGCUAACACAUUCCAAUAAUCCAUCACAUCUGAACCAGCUGCCUUGAAACAAAAGCUCAAGAGUGAUUUGACAAGUUGAGAGGACUCAUUCAUUUCCUUUGACUCCCUGCUUUGACCAUGACAGUCAAUGGAUGCUCACCUUCACCCCCACGACAACCAAUCAUAUGUUCUCACCUGAGUCACAAAGGGGGACCAAUGGGCUUCUAAAGAGUCGGGUAUUAAUAAAGUCACAAGGGGGCCUCUGGGUAAAUGAGUUCGCUGGUGAUUAAUGAGAGUGCUUCUUAAUGGGACACGUCAGACUGUAGAAAUCACCAAUCACAGCGCAGGAUUGUGGGUGCUCGGUCUCAUCUCUUGCCACUGAUAAGACUUGGCUGAAUCACAAAGACAGAGAGGGGGGGAGAGAUAUGGAAAACAAAACUGAUGCUUUUUGAGAGAAAAUACGAGGAGGGAGGAGGAAGAGUGGGAGACGGGAACAAUGAGGGCUCGAGCUGUGAGUGUGGCAGCGAAUUAUAGAGAGCAAUGCAGGGAAAAAAACAAUUCAAAUGCACACAAGCUGAUGAGAGACAUCCUCUCAACUGCCUUAUACUUUGUCUCAUGGUGACACACACACACACACACACACACACUAAGAAUAUACACACAGCAACACUGACUGAGACAGACGACUCUGAAUACCAACAUAUGUAUUAUUCUCCCUGCCUUUCCCUCUCUACUCUUAUUCCGCUUGUGUGCAUUUCACUGAAGUUGCAGUUUUCCAUGUCAAUGUAAAUGUGAGAUAAACUGGAGGGGAGAUGGAAAAAUAUUACAAAACCAAACAAAAUGUUUUAUUGAAAUAACUAUUAAAAGUGCAGCUGUGCAUGCAUAUUUGUGCUAGCAGGUUCCCAUACAUGCAUAUAUGUGUGUGUUUCCCUUCAGCUUCUAUAUGUUUGUUGUGUCUGCAUAUGAAAGAGUUGUACAUGAGAGUCUGUGUAGUCCCAGAGUAACUGACUGUAGAGUUUUAUUCCAUUUGAAGCUGUUUAUGCUGCCUGGUUAAAGUUUGAUGAGACCUCUGCUAGUAAAUGAACACAGUUAGGAAUUUGGAGAGAGACGCAAUGCGGAAAAUACAUCAAAUCUGUGUGUGAGUGUGUCAGUGCGUGUGCAUGUGUGUGUGUGUGUGUGAGGAAAAAGAAAGACUGCCUGCCAUGGUGUCAAAAUACACUCCAGCCAAAACUGAACUCUUUGUUUGUUUGUGCAGAAUGACUGCCCAUGUGCUCUCUUUGUGUUACCAGCGUUAGGUGUGUGUGUGUAGGCAUGGUGUGUUUUUGUGUGUUUGUGUGGGUCGUUUGCGGAAAUGAGAGUGCGUAAGAUUGGCAUGUAAUUAUCAGAGUGUCAGCUCAGUGAUACUCUGCCGGGUCAUUCAUCCUCUGACUGUCAUCGAACUGCACCCUUCGAGCACUCCACUGCACUGUCCUGAGAGCUGGUAUAAGAGUGGAUCUAUAAGUGUCAGUGUGUGUGUUUAUGUAUCAGUGUGUGUGUGAUACAUGCCUCCUUGCUAAAAAUCCAAAGUAAGAGAGGAGCAGUGCAGAAAUCCUUGAGAAAAAAAAAGCAAGGGGGUGAAGUCCAGCAUUACUUCAAAGCUGCAGAAACUAGCCUUCACUGUAGUUAAUCUUAGCUGGCAUUAGGAUUUAAAUUUGGAAAAGCUUGUGAAGCUACAUCACACUAAACAGGGAAUGAUUUCAAAUCCUAAGGCAAAAAUGCAUAAGGACAGAUGACUCACAGACAGCCUGUAUUUUAAUGAAAUCCCAUAUCCCCUUACAAAUAAUUAUGCAAAUUCUCAAAGACAAAGAAGGAUACUCUGUAUUUGUCUUGUUUCCAAUCAAAAAUAUGUCAUUAGUCUAAAUAAAAGUCACUUUCAUGAGACAAGCUGAGAUACACAUCUUGUUUCAAGAUAUUGCAAGUGAAAAGUAAGAUCUAAAUUGCUAGAAAUUAGUCAAAACACAAGUGAGAAAAAUGGACUGUAAUCUGGAAUAGAAGGUGCACCGCAGGACAGGAUCUGUUUAUUGAGGGUCAGGCUGUGUUCCUGCAGGAAGAUGUUACUGUGUUCAGCAAUGUGCAGUUUUUGUGCAGAUGUGUAGCUCCCUAUGGUGCAAUCUGUUACUGCCAUCACACCAGCUACCUGUAUGGUAAUUAAGCACAGCCUAAAGCAGCUUAAUUAGUUGUGAGGUUUGGAUGGACACAUGAUUUACUGACUAAAUAGUAUAGCACCAUUUUCUGUGAAUGCCUGACUAAGAUCAGAUGUGCUUGACUGGUUUGUCUUGCUUUGUUUCCAGCAUGUUUUUCACAUAUUCUUCUGCCCAUCAUGACAUCUCAGACUUUGCUCUUGACUUUUAAUAUCUUGAAAUAAGACAUCCAUCUGGACUUGGCAGGCUACUGAGGCAUACGUUAAAUCUAAUCAAAUAUUUUUGACCAGAAAUAAGACAAACUUUUAACACUUUUUUCUCUGUGCACUAACCCUACACUGAAUAGAUACAUUUUAAUGAGUACUUUAUUUUUUAUACAUUUGAAAGUUUUCUUAACUUUCAUCUAUCAGUGGUGGAGUAUGUCCUUGACUCCACUUAUGUUUAUCAUUGUUCAGGAAAGAGAAGCUUUAAGGACUUUUAAGACCAUCCCCAUAAAUUCUAAAACCAAAGUGGAUGAAACUGGAUGUAACCCAAAGUCCCAACAUUUUAGACAAAUGAAACCAAAAUUGGCUGCCAGACUGAACGCCCUCUUAUUAGUAUUUUGAUGCAGUGCCUCCACUUUUAAGAGCCUCCAUUAUUACUCCUCCAUUCUUGAAAACAAUCAUUAUUGCUGCUAUAAUCCGGUCAAAAGAACAUGUGGUCAGAUCCAGCGGUAAUCAAUGAUAGUUAUGUGGUUUCAUUGUGAGCACUUGCCCUUCCAAAAAGUACAUUUCGCUUUAGAAAUACUUCGGGUGAAUUUUCAGAAAACACAGUGCAAUAAUGCUGUUUUAAAUCUGUGCUACUCACUUUAUGCCAUACUUGUAAAUGAAGGCUUACUUUCAGCCUCUCUCUGUGCUGAGAAAUCAAUGCAUAAUCCUUACCACACAGCAAAACUAUCCAGAGUAUUUACUCUGCAGUUAUAAAAAAGCAAAUUCAGUGUUGCCAAAUGUCCUGAAAACAUCUGACCCUGCAGUUAUGAAAACCAGAAAAACUGCUACCCAGUGUGUUUCUACAUAAGGCAGCUGUCAGCAACCCAAACAACACCAAUCAUCAAUAUCUAGAAUGCAAUUUUGUCAUAGAGCUGCAUUAAUAAUUAAAAGAUAUCGGGAAGCAUUAGAUAGUAUCAGCUCUUCUGUUGCUGACAGAUGUGCAAUAAGUAAUCAUGAUGAGAUUGACUGCUGAACCGUGCACUAAACUGAACAAUUAGACAAUUAGCAAAACAGCGGAAGAAAAAGAAAAUAGGAAGUUUUGUAGAGAUCAGUUAUGAGUUGUUCAUAAAGGAUUGCAACCCUGUGAUUCUUAUUGACUCACGAAGAAAUAAUAAAAAAAAAAACUCAUGUCGUCAAGCACCCCAUGAAAAAGAAAACCAUUACUGUUGUUCUGGUUGUAAUGUUCCUUUUAUGCGCCAGACAGGCAUCCAGCUUGAGUGUGAGCAUGCUUUGUGAACCAUGAGAAUGAGAGAUUACUUAAAGCUAAAUACAAUCAGAUCUUUAUUGUUGACUCUGAAGCUUCCCUGAAGUCACAUUGGAAAGACAGAUGUGUUCAUUGGUGUGUCAAACAAGUGUUAUUAGUUCAGUGGGAGCCCCAUCAGGCAUCAUGAAAAAUAAAUACCAAGCAAUUAAGGAGGCCUGAAAAACAACGGAUUGAUGUCACAGCAACAUAUCUGCCGCUUCACAGCAACCAGCAAGGCUUGUGUUUGUCCAAAGAAAGAAAGUCUCGCUCUAUGAACAAUCAAGAAUUAUAAGAAUUAUACAUUUUGUUACAGUAAAACUGCAGCAGAAAAAAGCAGCCAUGUUGGCGUCACUGUUUUGCACAAUUAUGCAAAAAAAAAGAAGCAAUCAGCUUUUUCUUUUUUCUUUUUUUCAUAAAUCAUCAUAUUUCAAGGUGAUUUAUUAAGUGGUGGUGCAAAUGUCUAUUAGUCACACAAAGCAAAGCAAGAUUGCACUCCUGCUCAAUGAACAGUGAACCCAGCUAAGCAGAAGUGCAGCCCACGAAAGAGUCACUUAUUUAAUUUUAUGGUUCUGCAGCCUGAUUAGCCUUUGGCUGGGAUCCUGUGCUUUAUCUAUUUUAACCAUGGCUAUUAUGGCUUAUGAAAGAAACAUAGGGACCUGUUCACUGGCUGCUACAGGUGUACUUUGUCAGGUGUACUGAAAACUUUUUCCAUAUUUGUGUUGGUGAAACAGGGGUGAGGCUGGCAAUUUAGUUUGAUCCAUUUCAACCAGGCACAUAUUUUCAAAUGGCUUAGAAAAGUGUGACUGUAGGGACUGAACACCCAUAUCAUAUUACUGUUCACUGUUAGAGGUAGGAAAGGAAAACAGAGCCUCUAUGCUCAUUAGAAAACAAAAUAGACAGCUAUAAUUCACCAGAACUUGUACCAAUUAUGACUGGCCCCUCCCCCAAAAGUCAUAAGACAACAUCGUCUGCAUAUCAGGGCAGUUUGUGUGGAUGUAAUUGUCAAUCUUACAUCAGACUCAAACAAAAGAGAGACUGCUGUUUCCUCCCUGUUUUUAACCAUGAGUCAGCAUGAGUCAGCAUUGUGUUUGUUUAAACCCGACCACAAUUGUGUCUGAACUCUACCCUAUGGAUUUUUUUACUGUAACCAUAGCAACAAAAUUUACAAGCCUUAUGUAAGUACUUCUUUUAACCACAUCGCAGACAUAACUAAAACACAUCCAUGUUGUUUCUCUGCCUUAAACUUCCCAAACCUGGCAGAGGAUUAUUUUUAUUUAUUUACUUUUCUACAGUCGUGUGUAAUAAGACAUGACACAUGACAGUACAGACAACUGAAUUUGCCUUCAGGGAUCAAUAAAGUUCUUAUUAUUAUUCUUAAACUGGGUGGGUUUAGGCGAACGUCCUAUGCAGUUCUUUUCAUCAAGUUGUCAGAUCACACAACAUGUCAAGCACUGAACGCCUUACAGACUUUAACAACAUCAAGUCAUUUCAUGUUCAUGUUUUGUUAUCCCCUCUUCCAUUUCUAUGCCUUUUCCUUGUUCUUUGGGUGUAAAAAUGAGGGGUGCAAUAAUGCAAUAGAUUAAGUUACCUUUGGUGACUAUGGAUUGCAUUAAUUAUGGAUUUAGUCUGUGUUGUCCCAUGUUGGUUUUUGGAGAGGCCAAAUGGAAGUUGCUAAAUUUAAUUUGCUAACGCAGCCGAACUUUAGAUUGAUCAAGAAACAGACAAGAGGGUGAGCUCAGGCGGGUUUGUAGCUUCCUGACAUCCUGUUCACCUGUCUGUCCUCUCAGCUCUCCCCCUGAUCACACAGAUUUAAUUAUUACCUUUUAUAUUCAUUGUUUUGUUUGAUGUGUUAAGAAUUCAACUCCUUUACAAAGUGUACAACCAAAGAAUCAACCCCUUUUCCAACCAGAUUGCGUGCAGGUUUGUUUCUGCAGUAAAGUUGACAUUAUUAAACACUGAACCCAUUGGGGAUUACCUUCACUUUGCUUUCGCAGCCAUCCACAUGUGGAUACUCAAUGAAGUGCAGUUUUUUAAACUCCUUUCUGCAUUUAGAUCAUUUUCAGCUCUGGAGGUUGCAGCUUUCCCUGAACUUGUGGUGCUACCCUAUACUUAUGUGCACUCAGGCAUACUUUCACCUUCAGAGGAAUAGAGAAUUAGCCGGUGUUGCACCAGUGAAUUCAUAUUACACACUGACAUGGUAACUUUGAUACUGAGAAAUAAAGACAACGGAUAACUCCCUGGUCAGUUCUGGAGUUAUACAGCCCUUUCCUUCUAAUUCGAUCUCUACUCGCCCCCUUUCCUCAGCACUUGCUCUCUUCUUCCCUCAUUUACUUUACUGAAAGGACAGCAGAAAAAGCAAAAAUCUUGGAUGACCUUUGAUGUACCUGGCCGAGUCUGGCAACCCCCCACAGAGAGUAAAAAUAAGACGGUGUCCAGGACAGCUACACUUUCAUCCAGGCUGUGCAAUCGAUAUAAGAGUUCUUACUGGAGAUCUUAUUGAUGUUCUGAGACUCACUGUGCUCAUCAAUAGAAACAAUGAUCACUAGGAGAGAGGGAGACAUAGAGCGGGAGGCAGAGCAACACAUCCUUUUCUCGUCAUGUUUUCUAUUGGAAAUUCUGUCCUUGGGUUUGUAAAUUAACUAAAUUACAACUCAAUGCCUGUGCUGCCAACUUAAUGCCUGUGACAUUAAAAUUCUUGACUGACAGUGAUACUGCACAAAGGCAAGGAGAGACUUUUCUAAUUGGCAGCAACAGUCGGCGGCAAAUAUAGCUCAUUCAAUAAGUGAUCCUGACACUAAACUAAUAGAGAGGUGUAGAGAGAUGAACAAAGACCCCUAUAACAUUAAGCCAGAGAAAGAAACCCGAUGGUAGGAAAAGUGAGAGGUCCACUGUUCUUUAUAUUCUGGCUUCUCCUGACAUCACAGGCUGCCUUAGCUAGGGUCAGUUUGAAGUGAAGUCUGUGAAGCUGAGCAGAAUUGCUUGUUUUGAGACCAUAUUUGUAUCUUUGUAUCUUUUCUCACUGUCACAAAAUUUGAUAAAGUUGCUUAUUCACACAUGUACCUCAGCACGUGGUCUCCCAAUAUAGAGGAGGGGGAUAGUGGACGAGGGGGAUAGAGCACCAAUGCUCAUGCAAACAGAUGUGCAGAUAUCUUAAGUUAAAAACUGACUCUCUUCUUCAACCUUGAAAUGCUCUUAUUAUUCCUGCUACAAUACUUUCUGCUGCAUUCUGACAUAAGCUGGCCUUGACUUCUUGUGCAAGUUUUAUUGAGGGUGUACUCUCUGACAAUUGUGCUACAUCGAAUUUCCCCUCAGGGAUAAAUAAAGUUCUUCCUAUCUUAUCUUAUCUUACAGGCUCCUGUGAGGAGCUUUUGACUGCUUAGAAAAUAGAUUGAAAUUAACACUGAUGCCUUCAAAAGCAAACAAGACCAAAAAUGACUGGAUCAAAAAGGCAUAUUACGUAGUUUUUGAUGCCUGUAACUCUUGGAGGCAGGGUAGAUGUCAGAGAAAGCGGUCUUAUUUAUUGACAUAUCUUUUGGGUAGCACUUUGCUUGACGCCUUUCUCUAUAACGCAUUAUAAAUAUAUGUAUAAUGCAUUACAGUCACAUUACAGCACUGUAUAACUAUAGUUAUGAACACCCAUAAAUAUCAUAAUGGUUUAUAGCAACAAUCAUAACACAUUAUAAAGCAUUUUAUCAUGACUUACAAGGUCAGGUAUUAUAAUGUGGUAUAACUCUAAACAACUCACUGACAAUGUCUACAUAGAUAGCACAUUAUACAUAUAUUUAUGAUGUGUUAUAAUUUGCUAAUAAACUUGUAUAACUAUUAUUAAAAACACUUAUUGUAAAUACUUAUUAUCAAAAGGCUUUAUAAAAAUGAGCAUAACACAUUAUAAUACCUGACCUUGUGAGUCAUGAUAAAAUGCUUCAUAAUGUGUCAUGAGCAUAUGAUUUAUGAGUGUUAUGAAUAUAUUAUAUGUAACACAUUAUACAUAUAUUUAUAAUGUGUAAUAGAGAUAGGCGACAAGUAAAGUGUUACCAUAUUUGCGUUAAAUAUUGACAAUAGGUGACAAAUUCCACUGUUGCAAGGAGGCACCAAAACUGUCACAAACAGAGAGUUCCUCAGUGAUGCUUCAGGUGAUAACAGCUGCAAAAAUCAGACACUUUCAAACAUUGUCUUGUAUGGAAAUGUGUUAAAGCUUAACCCUGAGAAUGCUUACAUUUUAACUGGGAUAAGUAUGUGCAAAACUUGAGUCCCUGAAAAAUGCCACUGAGGAGACCAUAAAAUGUAUCGUAUCAUGUCAUAUCAUGUCGUACCUUAUUGUGUUGGGUUGUAUCAUAUUACAUCAAAAUGUACCAUUUCAUGUCACGUCAAAUCAUAUCAUAUCAGGUCCUAUUGUAUUGUAUCAUGUCGUGUCGUGUUUUGUCAUGUCAUGUUGUGUCACAUUGCAUCGUAUUGAAUCAUAUCGUUUAACUUUGCGUCGUGUUCUAUCGUAAGGUAUUAUGACAUUGUAAUAUAUCAUUAUGUAUCAUAUAGCAUAACACAUUGAAUCUUACUGCUUAGUAUGGUAUCGUAUUGAAAUAAUUCUUUUCAUCAUGAAUACUGAGAAAUAUUUGGAUUUUGGUCCAUUUCUUUUUAGACAUUUAGGCAUUUUAAUAUCAUCAAUCCAGGUCAUCAAUCCCAAACUCCCCAAAAAUAUAUAAUUUCAUGUUGCAAUAUUUUUUUAAGCAAACAGCAAAUACAGCUCACUGUUUAGAUAAUUGACACAAGUAGUUCUUUUGCCUUAAAUAUAGUUUUGCAGAAGAGCUCUUGUACUAAAAAUCAGCUCUGAUUGGUUUUUUGACAGCCUGAAAGCAUUACAUUAGAAGCGGUUCAGGAUAAUAGUUGAUAAUUGGCAGAUGGGUAAAAAGCCUCCUUCUCCUGCUAUAACUGCUGCAUUGCACUGAAUAAGUCAACAGCAGUGAACAUCUCUAGUGAAGCUGCUAUAGAAGGUUAUACAUGUACAAUCAGCUUCGAUUAGAUACACUAAAGAGCACAUGUAACAGCAAGAAAAGAGGCCUUCAAAGGGGAUGAAAUGGAAAAUAAAUUAACAUUUUUAUUGCAGCACCUUAUGCAGAGAAAUAUUUGUAAAGCAGAGUCUGAUAAAACAUGUAGAGAUCUUAAAUGUAGAGUGAUAUUUGUCAGAAACACGUUCAAAUUGAGCUAGCUAUUAACGUUGCUUAAAUCUACUGCUCGGUGUUUACCCCGUCCCAGGACAAAAAAGCACACAUACUCAGUCACACACACACACACACACCGUAACACAUGCACAGGUCUGCAUGUUUGAAAGGGAAGUUUAACCCUUUCAAGUGACUAGAGAGUGCGCUCUCUACUCUCUCGUGUAGAAGGAGAUAGAAAGCACACAUCAAUACUCUGAGUCAAGGUGCUGAGUGCCACAUCACAAAACCGACACACACACACCAGAUCUGUUUACAGUGUAGCGAGCUGUCACCAGCAGACUGUAAAUAAUAGGCUGGAGAUGAAACCGUUUGCGAACAAAAAAACCACACAGCUCCGAGUGCGUGCGUGUGUGUGCAUGUCUGUGUGUUUGUGUACUGUGGGUUUGAAUACCCUGUAGAGGCCGAGGCAUUUGCCCAGUCCAGUGCUCUUUCUUCCAGUCUGGCAGGCAGACAAGGGGAAGUGAAAGAGAUAAGUUGAAAGCAGAAGUUCCUGCAGUCAGCGUACAGGCAGGAUAUGGCCUGAUUGAGAUAGACUCUGACUGAUUGUGAUGUGGACUCAGCUUAUUAUCAACUCUCUGUCUUUCUGUCUGUCUGUCUGUCUGUCUGUCUCCACCAGAAAAUUUAAAAUGGAAAUCAUCAAGUGCAACCAGGAACUGAUUUUCAUAAAAUGACCUGUUGUGUUUAACUGUUGCAAAUAUAUGGAUUGUGAAGUCAUGUGUUUGAGUUUCGCGAUAUCACAUUUGAUAUCAAGUAAGUAUUACUUAAGCUACAGUGAGUGACAAUGCUGGUAACAAAAUCUGGUCCUGUGCCUCCAGGUUCUUCAGUUUUAUCCUUCAACUCCAAUAGAGACUGCAUAACCAGAAUGUUUGGUCAUUGUCAUCCUGGCAUUGCUUUUUUAUGGCAUCAGUCCGCUGUUACAAAAUAACAGACCUCUAAGUACUGUGAUUGACCAAUCAGAAGUCUAACACAUGCUGAUGUAACUGGUAAAGGGUAAUGAAUAGUGAAAGGAUGGUGAAAUUAAAGUCUCAGAGCAGAAGGGUCUUUACUGGGGUGACAAUGAAAUGAAGCUAUUGCUGUUAUCACUACCACUUAUUAUUUAAGUUACUUUUUAGUGAUGGCAAAUUAGAAUCUGUUGCCUGGAUUGCAGGACAGGGUGUUUCCUUACUUUUCAGGAGGUUAGGCAGAAAAAAAUGUGCUGGACUCCUGAUUCCAUAAGGCAAGUGUGAUCAGGUUGUCCAUUGUGUCACUUUUGCUGUUGACAAUUAAUCACAGUCAAAAUGAAGGUUUUGACCAAUUAGAAGCAAGUAGCAAGGAAGAAAAUAACUUUAGAGUAGGAAGGGUGCCGAAUCGUUCUCGUAUCACUACAUUCUAUUUCAUUACAGUAGACUAAAGGUGCCAACACGACUUUAUAAGUAGGCAUAUCAAAUAAAAAUACACUGCAGUGCUGAAAGGUGAGCAGACCUAUAAGACCGUCUUCUUCCAUCCCCUAUCUUCAUCUUUAUUUCUUUCCUCCUUCUCCUCCACCUCUUUCUUUAAAAAAAAAAAAACAUAUGUGAGUAUGAGUGUGUGGGUGGAGGGCCUUGCUUCUAUUUUUCACAGGGAUGUGGCACCGGGAGUGUAAACCAGGCCAGAGAGUGGGAGCGAUAGAGGAAGAUGGAAGAUGGAGAUAGUAACGAGGGACAGAGAAAGCCUAACAAGAAGUUUGGAGCAGAGAAACUUUAGCCAAGCUUUUUAGCAUGCUUCCACUGAUCCCCAACUACUGUGAAGUGUUCCCUCUGUAGAGUAACUACUUCCUUCAGUACAGAGAGAAACCAUUUUAACAAGAGGAGGAUCCACUUUAUUAUCAUUCCAAACCAAAUCCUAACUCAAAAUAGGACAUUUUUUUUGACAGCGUUGAGUCAAUAUUCACACACAAACUGAUCCCUUCUGUCAUCAAAUGCUUGAAAUUCGCUUCACAACAAAGGGGGGGGGGGGGGAGUGCUGGGGUUGUUGCUUGGUGACUAGUUUCUGUGACAAAGCAGGACAAGAAGCUGUGCAGGAUAAGCUAUAGCAACUGGAGACAAAGCCAUGCUGACAUGCAGUUUGUACAGCUAAUUAAAAAGAAAGCAUUUCAUUAUAAAUGGACUUACCUCCUUGCGAACCACAGCUGAAAGAGUCUGAAUUAAUGUGUCUUCUAAAACAGCUUUUUUUUUUUAAACAAAGACCUUAGUCAGCAGCAGCUGAGUUACACAGUUUCCCUUGUGUCCCUUUUUUUCCACAUCCCGCAUUCAGCUGUCUUAUUCAGGUGAGGACCAGAGAGGAUGCAUGGCUGCCACAUCAGCUCACGCUCCCUAAUGAACGUCAACUUGGGCCAGUUUUUUUUUUUUUUUGGAGUCAGUGCAAAGUAGUUCACUACAUCAAAAUGAAUAAUAUCUCUCUUAGCAUUUGUUUUAAACAUGCAUGUCCUACUUCUAAAUUAGCAGCAGAGAAGCAGAAUUCUCAGUAUGAGGUCCAGGAUGUUCCAGAAAUGGUCCAAUCCCAUCUGCCUCUCAUCAUACCUGUUUCCCAGAAAACUUUUAAUCAACUGCCCCCGUGUCCCUGAUAAUAUAUAUUUUUUACUUUUAUUAUGCACAGUUCAACAACUAACAAGAAAUCCUGCUGUUUUACAUGGCUCUGUUAGUGUCUUUAAUCAAAUUGCAAACAGAAAUUAUACUCAUAGUAUAUAAUAGUGUGUAUUUUAGGAAAACCAAAUUAGAAAAAGAGGUUGUGCCGGCACACUAACUUGAUACCACAAAGAACUGAUUAGUCCUCUUCAGACGGUAGAAAGACACUAUAUAGGUUUAGGAAUACCAAAAGGCUGAUAGCACCAUGGUGGCAGGUGUGGUGCAAUAUGCCCCAAAAUAAAAACAUAGGGGAGAGUGGGGUAAGAUGAGCCAUUUUUCAUAUUUUGGAUCACUACAUCAAUCAUAGUUUUGUCUCUAACUAGUGUAUCUGCAUAUAAUUCAAGAUGUUGUGCAUCACUGCAAACCAACAGAAUGAGUGUAAACAUAACUGUCUUGAUAAUAUAGCAGGCCAAAAAAAGUGGUCUCCUAUGGUCAACUUACCCCAUAGGAGCAGGGUAAGUUGAGCCGUAUCCCCUCCCAAUAUCUCCUUACCAGAAAUCUUCCUAAUAUUUCAUGAUACAUGUUACUCACCACUGUUUUCAAAGAAACACAUUUACCCACAAGUCCCAGAGCCGUGUGCCAUGAGUUGUGUAAAGACUCCAAAAAGUCUGACUGGGAUGUAAAGUGUCAGCCAUUAGAAAAAUAUUAGGCCAGAAAGGCAAACUUUUUUUUAUCCCAAAUUGAAAGUGGUCUGGAGCACUAUGUGAAGAAGGGUGUGCCAGUCUACAUUUCGCUAGUUAAUCUCAGUAAACGGUACAUAACCAGGGCAUUAUUGAGAAGCAGAAUGCAAAGAGAUUGGUUCAUAGGUGUGGGUUUGUCAUAACACAAAUCAAAUCAAUCAGUGUGUUAGCUCUCAUUUCCUGUAGGAGCCACAUGCGCCUGCAAGAAGGAGCCUUGUUAUUUACACAGCAGAUUUCAACCUUUCCUUUCAAAAAGAUUGAGCUCAAGCCAGCACAUUUAACUUCUCUUCCUCCACCGUGUUCCUACAAAUGCAGAAAACUCAAAAAGUUCAUUGUGUGAGUUAGUCUAAGAAUGGAGUUCUUCCAAUUAGACAAUCCCAACAAUUAUCACAAACAUUCAGCGACUUUCCAAUUUAGAGAUGAUAAGACAACAUAGGAUAAUAUGGAUAUAAAAAGAGGGUACUGCCUCAUGUUCCUUAGGAUGUUAUUUUUUUCUUCUAAAUUCCAAAUUUGCUGAAAUCAACAAAAAUCCUAUUUAUUUGCCAAAAUAAAGCGCCAUUACUUCAAAAGCCUAAUAACUUGGAUUGGUGUGAAAUUGCAGUAUGUCCAUUUGUGGUUCUCGGGUUUUGACACAGGUAUGAGUUAUACAGACGUUUCCCUGUAUAUUAUAAAGUAUGUACAUGAUAUAUGUGUGUGGUAAAGACUUGGCAGCGCCUGAGGUCCUGAAGCAAGCCUCUACCAAUUCAGCACCAUGGACAGCGCAGACAGCUACUUUAGGAAGAGAAUGAGAGCAUUUCUAUACCGUGGUGCUUUAUUUCUUUCAUGCUUCUUUUCUGUUUUAAAGUAAUCUAUAUCUAUAGAUCCAUAUGAAUACAGUGUCAUGAUUUAUUGGAAAAGCUCUAAGGAUUCUGGUUUCCAUUUAUAGAAACAGAGGUGCUUUAGCAGAAAGAAAUAUGGCUCCAUUCAAGAAAAGGAUGUGGAAAUCAAGAGGCAAAGGGGAAAUGACGGCAAUCUAGGAGAACUGCAUAAGCCAGCUUGUGAGGCAUCACACAAGGUAUGCUGUCAACUCUAACUCACUCUGUAGAAAGAUAAAGGCUUCUUCCUGAAAUCUGAGCCCGAUUUCAGCUUCAGAACCCAUUUUGAGUAUUUUCUUCUCUAGUUUUCAGCUAACAAAUCAUAGGAGUAGAACCUCAGAUUUCUAUAGAGUCAGCCAGCUAGCUCACCUUGUUGGUAUUUGGAACAUCUAGAGGCUGAAGUGAGCUGAAUACUGAUCAGAAUAGAGGAAGAUAAGCCCAUGAUGAUGGAUAGUCUUGGAUUCAUUACUUCACUGUUUUUGUUUGAUGUUUUUCGUAGCUUCAGUCAAGAAACACUUCAGUCCCUGGACCCCAAAGACAAAGAAGGGUAUGAGAGCCCUGGAGCUGUUUGUAUAGAUGGUAUAAUAUGCAAAGAAAGAAAGACAGAAAAGAAGAGAGAGAGGGAGAAAAGAUUGCAGC